Molecule: ribosomal RNA, 301 nt
Filed under: uncultured bacterium
Lineage: Bacteria
Description: partial 16S ribosomal RNA
Rfam family: Bacterial small subunit ribosomal RNA
Source: RNAcentral
CAGCCGCCACGGUAAUACGAAGGGUGCAAGCGUUAAUUGGAAUUACUGGGCGUAAAGCGUACGUAGGCGGUUUGUUAAGUCUGCUGUGAAAUCCCCGGGCUCAACCUGGGAAUGGCAGUGGAUACUGGCAAGCUAGAGUGUGUCAGAGGAUGGUGGAAUUCCCGGUGUAGCGAUGAAAUUCGUAGAUAUUCGCAAGAACACCAGUGGCGAAGGCGGCUCACUGGCCCGAUACUGACGCUGAGGUGCGAAAGCGUGGGGAGCGAACAGGAUUAGAUACCCCCGUAGUCCCUGUCUCUUAUAA